CGGACGGGUGAGUAACGCGUGAGAAUCUACCUUCAGGACGGGGACAACAGCUGGAAACGGCUGCUAAUACCCGAUAUGACGAAAGGUGAAACGUUGUUUCGCCUGGAGAGGAGCUCGCGUCCGAUUAGCUAGUUGGUGGGGUAAAAGCUUACCAAGGCGACGAUCGGUAGCUGGUCUGAGAGGAUGAGCAGCCACACUGGAACUGAGACACGGUCCAGACUCCUACGGGAGGCAGCAGUGGGGAAUUUUCCGCAAUGGGCGAAAGCCUGACGGAGCAACGCCGCGUGGGGGAAGAAGGUUUUUGGAUUGUAAACCCCUUUUCUCAAGGAAGAACAAAAUGACGGUACUUGAGGAAUCAGCCUCGGCUAACUCCGUGCCAGCAGCCGCGGUAAUACGGAGGAGGCAAGCGUUAUCCGGAAUUAUUGGGCGUAAAGCGUUCGUAGGCGGCUGUUCAAGUCUGCUGUCAAAGACCGAGGCUCACCCUCGGGUCGGCAGUGGAAACUGGAUAGCUAGAGGUCGGUAGGGGCAGAGGGAAUUCCCAGUGUAGCGGUGAAAUGCGUAGAUAUUGGGAAGAACACCGGUGGCGAAAGCGCUCUGCUGGGCCGAACCUGACGCUGAGGGACGAAAGCUAGGGGAGCGAAUGGGAUUAGAUACCCCAGUAGUC
RNAcentral lists this ribosomal RNA (664 nucleotides) under uncultured cyanobacterium. Its description in RNAcentral is "bacterial SSU rRNA". It matches the Rfam family "Bacterial small subunit ribosomal RNA", at positions 99 to 795 of the family's 1533-position model. The record is from RNAcentral. Lineage: Bacteria; Bacillati; Cyanobacteriota.